UACCUGCAGCUCGAGUGGUAACCGUUAUUAUUGGGCCUAAAGCGUCCGUAGCCGGUUUGGUAAAUAUCUGGGUAAAUCGUGAGGCUUAACUUCACGAAUUUCGGAUAGACUGCCAGACUUGGGAUCGGGGGAGGUCAGAGGUACUCCAGGGGUAGCGGUGAAAUGUUGUAAUCCUUGGAGGACCACCGGUAGCGAAGGCGUCUGACUAGAACGAGUCCGACGGUGAGGGACGAAGCCCUGGGGCGCAAACCGGAUUAGAUACCCGGGUAGUCCAGGGUGUAAACGAUGUGGGCUUUGUAUUGGAGGUCCCACGUGGGCGUCCAGUGCAGAAGAGAAGUUGUUAAGCCCACCGCCUGGGAAGUACGGUCGCAAGACUGAAACUUAAAGGAAUUGGCGGGGAGCACAGCAACGGGUGGAGCGUGCGGUUU
RNAcentral lists this ribosomal RNA (428 nucleotides) under uncultured archaeon. Its description in RNAcentral is "bacterial SSU rRNA". It matches the Rfam family "Archaeal small subunit ribosomal RNA", at positions 474 to 903 of the family's 1478-position model. The record is from RNAcentral.